GCAUUUAUGGCAGAGUGGACGAUAGCACGGGACUCAUAAUCCCGCUCAAUAUGACAUCACUGGUUCGAAUCCAGUUAAAUGCA
This 83-nucleotide transfer RNA is filed under the name Lepocinclis tripteris. RNAcentral's name for it is "tRNA-Met". It matches the Rfam family "tRNA". From Rfam's summary of the family: Transfer RNA (tRNA) molecules are approximately 80 nucleotides in length. Their secondary structure includes four short double-helical elements and three loops (D, anti-codon, and T loops). The record is from RNAcentral. Lineage: Eukaryota; Euglenozoa; Euglenophyceae; Euglenales; Phacaceae.